This 253-nucleotide ribosomal RNA is filed under the name uncultured bacterium. RNAcentral describes it as "partial 16S ribosomal RNA". It matches the Rfam family "Bacterial small subunit ribosomal RNA", at positions 524 to 776 of the family's 1533-position model. The record is from RNAcentral.
UACGUAGGGUGCAAGCGUUAAUCGGAAUUACUGGGCGUAAAGGGCUCGUAGGCGGCCAACUAAGUCAGACGUGAAAUCCCUCGGCUUAACCGGGGAACUGCGUCUGAUACUGGAUGGCUUGAGUUCGGGAGAGGGAUGUGGAAUUCCAGGUGUAGCGGUGAAAUGCGUAGAUAUCUGGAGGAACACCGGUGGCGAAGGCGGCAUCCUGGACCGACACUGACGCUGAUGAGCGAAAGCCAGGGGAGCAAACGGG